GGCAUCAUAGAAUAAUCAAAGGAGCAAUCCGCUUUGAGAUGGACCCGCGGCGCAUUAGCUAGUUGGGGAGGUAAGGGCUCACCAAGGCGACGAUGCGUAGCCGACCUGAGAGGGUGAUCGGCCACAUUGGAACUGAGACACGGUCCAGACUCCUACGGGAGGCAGCAGUGGGGAAUAUUGCGCAAUGGGGGAAACCCUGACGCAGCAACGCCGCGUGAGUGAUGAAGGUUUUCGGAUCGUAAAACUCUGUCUUUAGGGACGAUAAUGACGGUACCUAAGGAGGAAGCCACGGCUAACUACGUGCCAGCAGCCGCGGUAAUACGUAGGUGGCAAGCGUUGUCCGGAUUUACUGGGCGUAAAGAGUAUGUAGGUGGGUGCUUAAGUCAGAUGUGAAAUUCCCGGGCUUAACCUGGGCGCUGCAUUUGAAACUGGGCAUCUAGAGUGCAGGAGAGGAAAGUGGAAUUCCUAGUGUAGCGGUGAAAUGCGUAGAGAUUAGGAAGAACACCAGUGGC
This 512-nucleotide ribosomal RNA is filed under the name Clostridium botulinum C. RNAcentral's name for it is "bacterial SSU rRNA". It matches the Rfam family "Bacterial small subunit ribosomal RNA", at positions 187 to 716 of the family's 1533-position model. Lineage: Bacteria; Bacillati; Bacillota; Clostridia; Eubacteriales; Clostridiaceae. The record is from RNAcentral.